GAUGAACGCUGGCGGCGUGCCUAAUACAUGCAAGUCGAGCGAACAGAUGAUGAGCUUGCUCCUCUGACGUUAGCGACGGACGGUUGAGUAACACGUGGAUAACCUACCUAUAAGACUGGGAUAACUUCGGGAAACCGGAGCUAAUACCUGAUAAUAUAUUAAACCUCAUUUUUCAAUAGUGAAGAACGGUUUUACUGUCACUUAUAGAUGUAUCCGCUCGGCAUUAGCUAGUUGGGAAGGUAACGGCUGUCAAAGGCAACGAUGCGUGGCCGACCUGGGAGGGUGAUCGGCAACAUUGGAACGGAGCAACGGUCAAGACUCCUCGGGGAGGAAGAAGUAGGGAACCUUCGGAAAUGGGCGAAAGCCUGACGGAGAAACGCGGCGUGAGUGAUGAAGGUCUCAGGACCGUAAAACUCUGUUAUUAGGGAAGACAAAAUGUGUAAGUAAAUAUGCACGUCUUGACGGUACCUAAUCAGAAAGCCACGGCUAACUACGUG
RNAcentral lists this ribosomal RNA (497 nucleotides) under uncultured bacterium. RNAcentral's name for it is "partial 16S ribosomal RNA". It matches the Rfam family "Bacterial small subunit ribosomal RNA", at positions 28 to 507 of the family's 1533-position model. The record is from RNAcentral.